UACAGAGGGGGCAAGCGCUGUUCGGAAUUACUGGGCGUAAAGGGCGCGUAGGCGGCCUGUUAAGUCGAACGUGAAAUCCCCGGGCUCAACCCGGGAACUGCGUCCGAUACUGGCAGGCUUGAAUUCGGGAGAGGGAUGUGGAAUUCCAGGUGUAGCGGUGAAAUGCGUAGAUAUCUGGAGGAACACCGGUGGCGAAGGCGGCAUCCUGGACCGAUAUUGACGCUGAUGCGCGAAAGCCAGGGGAGCAAACGGG
This 253-nucleotide ribosomal RNA is filed under the name uncultured bacterium. Its description in RNAcentral is "partial 16S ribosomal RNA". It matches the Rfam family "Bacterial small subunit ribosomal RNA", at positions 524 to 776 of the family's 1533-position model. The record is from RNAcentral.